RNAcentral lists this ribosomal RNA (473 nucleotides) under uncultured bacterium. RNAcentral's name for it is "partial 16S ribosomal RNA". It matches the Rfam family "Bacterial small subunit ribosomal RNA", at positions 30 to 507 of the family's 1533-position model. The record is from RNAcentral.
AGUGAACGCUGGCGGUAGGCCUAACACAUGCAAGUCGAACGGCAGCACAGUAAGAGCUUGCUAUUACGGGUGACGAGUGGCGGACGGGUGAGGAAUACAUCGGAAUCUACUUUUUCGUGGGGGAUAACGUAGGGAAACUUACGCUAAUACCGCAUACGACCUACGGGUGAAAGCAGGGGAUCUUCGGACCUUGCGCGAUUGAAUGAGCCGAUGUCGGAUUAGCUAGUUGGCGGGGUAAGGGCCCACCAAGGCGACGAUCCGGAGCUGGUCUGAGAGGGCGAAGGGACACAUUGGGACGGAGAGACGGACCACAGUCCUGCGGGAGGCAGUAGGGGGGAAUAUUGCAUAAUGGACGGAAGUCUGAUGGAGGAAAGCCGCGUGCGGGAUGACGGCCUUCGGGUUGUAAACCGCUUUCAAUUGAGACGACGCUUGUUGUGACGGUAGCAGUAGAAGAAGCACCGGCUAAAUAGGUG